GACGUAGGGCGCGAGCGUUGUCCGGAUUUAUUGGGCGUAAAGAGCUCGUAGGCGGUUUGUCGCGUCGUCCGUGAAAACUCACAGCUUAACUGUGAGCUUGCGGUCGAUACGGGCAGGCUAGAGUUCGGUAGGGGAGACUGGAAUUCCUGGUGUAGCGGUGAAAUGCGCAGAUAUCGGGAGGAACACCGGUGGCGAAGGCGGUUCUCUGGGCCUUACCUGACGCUGAGGAGCGAAAGCGUGGGGAGCGAACAGG
Molecule: ribosomal RNA, 253 nt
Filed under: uncultured bacterium
Lineage: Bacteria
Description: partial 16S ribosomal RNA
Rfam family: Bacterial small subunit ribosomal RNA
Source: RNAcentral